RNAcentral lists this ribosomal RNA (497 nucleotides) under uncultured bacterium. Its description in RNAcentral is "partial 16S ribosomal RNA". It matches the Rfam family "Bacterial small subunit ribosomal RNA", at positions 28 to 507 of the family's 1533-position model. The record is from RNAcentral.
GAUGAACGCUGGCGGCGUGCCUAAUACAUGCCAGUCGAGCGAACAGACGAGGAGCUUGCUCCUCUGACGUUAGCGGCGGACGGGUGAGUAACACGUGGAUAACCUACCUAUAAGACUGGGAUAACUUCGGGAAACCGGAGCUAAUACUGGAUAAUAUAUUGAACCGCAUGGUUCAAUAGUGAAAGACGGUUUUGCUGUCACUUAUAGAUGGAUCCGCGCCGCAUUAGCUAGUUGGUAAGGUAACGGCUUACCAAGGCAACGAUGCGUAGCCGACCUGAGAAGGUGAUCGGCCACACUGGAACUGAGACACGGUCCAGACUCCUACGGGAGGCAGCAGUAGGGAAUCUUCCGCAAUGGGCGAAAGCCUGACGGAGCAACGCCGCGUGAGUGAUGAAGGUCUUCGGAUCGUAAAACUCUGUUAUUAGGGAAGAACAAAUGUGUAAGUAACUAUGCACGUCUUGACGGUACCUAAUCAGAAAGCCACGGCUAACUACGUG